Molecule: unclassified non-coding RNA, 376 nt
Filed under: soil metagenome
Description: partial contains 5.8S ribosomal RNA, internal transcribed spacer 2, and large subunit ribosomal RNA
Rfam family: 5.8S ribosomal RNA (bases 1-120)
Source: RNAcentral
GAUGAAGAACGUAGCGAAAUGCGAUAAGUAAUGUGAAUUGCAGAAUUCAGUGAAUCAUCGAAUCUUUGAACGCAUCUUGCGCUCCUUGGUAUUCUGAGGAGCAUGCCUGUUUGAGUGUCAUUAAAUUCUCAACUACACUGACUUUGAAUUGGUGUGGCUUGGAUUUGGGGGGAAAAUUGUUGUGGGCUUUUUGUAUAGUCUGCUCCCCUGAAAUUGAUUAGCGGUACCUUUGUGGAACUGUCUACAGGUGUGAUAAUUAUCUACAUCUUAGACAUCUGCUGGAAUGCUGCUUUCUAAACCUUACUUGUAUUGACAAUCUUGACCUCAAAUCAGGUAGGACUACCCGCUGAACUUAAGCAUAUCAAUAAACGGAGGA